Salvelinus namaycush (lake trout) is the source of this 159-nucleotide long non-coding RNA. RefSeq lists it as uncharacterized. Lineage: Eukaryota; Metazoa; Chordata; Actinopteri; Salmoniformes; Salmonidae. The transcript has 3 exons. The record is from RefSeq and is a predicted model, not a curated record.
GGCGAUUAUGGCAGGCAGCAGUGGCUUCUGGAGUGGGCGUGCUCCUGGUAGGAUUGACAGCUGUCUGUCUCUGCAGGAGGACCAAGAAAAACUAUUCUCAGAGACCUACAGCCAGACAGGAUGAUCACAGCCAAUGUAUGUUCUAAACAAAAUACAUCA